Molecule: long non-coding RNA, 332 nt
Filed under: Pan troglodytes (chimpanzee)
Lineage: Eukaryota; Metazoa; Chordata; Mammalia; Primates; Hominidae
Description: long non-coding RNA NONPTRT002412
Source: RNAcentral
UAAGACCUCUGUUCACCCUUCCCUGUGUGAGGCCCAGGAGGCAUCAGUAAACAGAAACAAGGCCGGCCCUCACACAGCAGGCACACCCCAACAUCUCAACAAAACCUCACACAGCACACACCCAACAUCUCAACAAAACCUCCCACGGCACAUACACCCCAACAUCUCAACAAAACCUCACACGGCACGUACACCCCAACAUCGCAACAAAACCUCACACGGCACGCACACCCCAACAUCUCAACAAAACCUCACACAGCACACACACCCCAACAUCUCAACAAAACCUCACACGGCACGCACACCCCAACAUCGCAACAAAACCUCACACA